Bos taurus (domestic cattle) is the source of this 73-nucleotide non-coding RNA. The record is from Rfam. Lineage: Eukaryota; Metazoa; Chordata; Mammalia; Artiodactyla; Bovidae.
UCCCUGGUGGUCCAGUGGUUAAAACACCUCGCUUCUACUGCAGGGGGCACAGGUUCAAUCCCUGGUCAGGGAA